GACCCAAAAAAAAAAGGAUAAAGCCCAUCCAACGCCUGAAAGCGGGCUCUUCUUAUACUUUCUUUUCUCUUCAUUUUCCAGAUUAGUCCAAACAAAGGUACCAAAAAUGGGGGAUCUGAAGAUUUCGAGCAAGCCUGAGAAGAAUCUCGGCGAAUUGGCCCUUUCCGGCUCCAAAUUCGAAGACGCCGCUGAUCUGUUCGAUAAAGAUGUCAAUUGCUUUAAACUCGCCGAUUCAUGGGAUAAUGCUGGAGCAGUAUAUGUUAAAUUUGGCUAAUUGUCAUCUGAAGGUGGAUAGCAAACACGAGGCUGCAAAUACUGCUCAUUACUACAAGAAGUCAAAUAUUAAAGGUUCGUGAGUCACGGAAUAAUUAUUUGCUUCAAACCAGCAUUUUUAUGUUGCAUGCUUCCGAAAAACAUAGAAGCAAUGUCUUUGGAUAAAUAGAUGCUUUGGAUUCCCGAUCUCUUUUGUUUAGAUCAUCAAGUAGAUGAUUGAGAAAGUAUAUGGAAAGAUAAAAGAAGAAGAAUAAGAGGGGAUGGGGACGGCAAUGACCUAAAGAGGAAGAAGUAGAGAUAAAAGUGAAUGGGCCUUUUUUUUUAAAGGUUUGUAGCUAUUUUGUUAAAUGGGUAAUGGGUGGGUUAAAUGAGUACUUGAAAUUUGGGUUAAGGCGUAGGAUUGUACCACGUGUGCAAAAUGAGUCUUCACGUGUACAAAAUUAGUCUUCCGUUAGUGGGAGGGGCAAGUGAACUAGUUAUUGGACGACGAGGGUACUCAUGGACAAAAAGUAUGACGAAGGGUUUGACAUACAAUUUUCGAAAGUUCAGGGGGUUUAUUUGUCCGUUUUCCCUAGAAUAUUCAGACCUUGCUAACUCAAAUCAGAGGUGCAAGCAUUGUAUCUUCCUAUCUACUCCUUUGUCAUAUUUCACUUUGUGAUAAUCAGUUUGACUAAUAUUAUCUAUCUCAUCCGAAAACCCAAGCAUACGCCUCAAAGCCAUCACCCUACAAACCCUGGAUUUCAGUGAUCAAACUUUAGUUUAAUAAUCCUCUGCUUCCAAAAAGGUUUUUUUUCCCAGAAAUACUUUAGAGGAGUAGAAUGUUAAAUUGGGAGAGAAGCAGUCAGAUUAAAUUUUAUAUGUCAAAGACCCGUUCAUUUCGGAUCACCAGGAUACAACUUUAUAUCUCAAUGUUGCUAUGGUUUCAAUACUUUGUAUAGAAUUCUCUCUGUAUAUUAUAAUUUUUUUGACUGAUCUCUCUGACCUAUGUGCGACUAUGGCUUAUGUCAUUCCAUGUCUGGAUGAGCUAAUGGACCUUGGUUGGCCCAGGUCCAUCAACAAUUUGAAAAAUCAGGACUUCUGCUAAUUUGGACUUCUCUACUCCCAUUGACUCUUUUUGAGUAAGAUCAGUAGGACAUAAGCUUACAUCCGGCUUCAUAGAAGUAAAGAGUUUGUAUCGCCGGAAUUGAGAUUUAUAAAUCAAUGUUGGUACGGUUUCAAAGUCGUUUGUGUUGUAUCGUUAGAAUAAGGAUUUAUAUCUUAAUGUCCGUAUAUUUUCAAAGUCGUUUUAUUGUCAGGAUAGAGAUUUAUAUCUCAAUGCUAGAGUUUUAUUUCUAUAUAAUUUUAUAACUUGAAAGCUGUUCAUUUCAUAUAAGAAAUUUUAGAGGAGUGUUGUAUUUUUGUUUGUUUAGUUCUGUCAAUUGGUUUCUACGUAAGCUAUAUAGUGAUGAUUAGGUUUGUUUUUCUAAUAUGUUAAUUUUCUUCUUUCUUCUUUACUGCCUUACUCUGCUCCCCCCCUCCCUUUUUAAAAAAAAAUCUCUUUUGUUUGUUUUCUUUGGAUGUUGUUGAACUGUUUUUCCUUAUUAAUUGACAUGUUUUCUUCUGUAGAAUAUUUUUAUUUGUUGCACUUAGGAUCUCUCAUUACCUCUGUGAGGUAGUGUUAUUAAGCUCCAUAGAACUCACUUAUGGAUUACAUUGGAUAUGAUGUCGUUAUUGUAUUUUUUUUAAUUCGUUUCAAUUAUUAAUUUAAUUGAAUAUGCAAUUUUCAAAUUUUAGUAGUAUUUUUGAGGCAAAGACUCGGCUUUAUUGGAGUAAGCCCCUAAUCCGAUUGAAGUUGAAAUUUUCAGUUAGUGAUAAGUGAAAAAAAGUAUUUUGAUAUUGAAGUUGAGUGCUUAGUAUCAACAGAUUUAGGAUUUUAAACCGAGCUUUUUUGGAUAGUGACGAUAGAGAUUCACAUAUGAUAGAGGAAGACAUGUUAUGAAGUUGAUGAGUAGCAAAUAUUAUACUUUGUUUACAUGAGAAGUGAGUUUCUCAUAUGAACUAUGCUUUCGGAGAAACAUAAUGAGAGAGAUUGAAUUUUCUCUAGGUUCAACAUUGCGAAUGGUCUGCUUAUGGCUUGGUAUGUGGUGUCACAAUGAUAUUUUUCUAGAACUCUGAGGUCUUUGAAGAAAUAAGAAGAUCGUUAAUCUUGGGUUAAUUAUCUAUAUGAUUAUCGACGAGAUGACAUGUGAUUCUUCCAAGUUUUGAGGAUGAACAAGUAUGGCUUAGAACAAGCAGUAGCUGGAGGAGUUGGAUUUCAACAACAAAGAGAUGAACGAGGAGUUGCUCAAGAAGAAUAACGACAACAUUAGAUCAUGAUAUAUUGCAGACCCUUAAGUUUAUAAAGAGUUGAUUUAGUUUUUUGGAUUUUCUUUCAAUUAACGCAGGAUAAAAAGGAAAAAAUCUUAUUCCCAUCAGCUUGACUUUAUUCCAUAUAUGUGAUGCUCUUUGAGUUAUUAUAUAUCUAAUAUGAAUUGAAUCUGCAAUGUUUUUGUAAAACAUUGUGUCUAAAUUUUGUUAUGUGGAUGGUAAGAAAGUUCACUUUA
Solanum lycopersicum (tomato) is the source of this 2855-nucleotide non-coding RNA. The record is from RefSeq and is a predicted model, not a curated record. Lineage: Eukaryota; Viridiplantae; Streptophyta; Magnoliopsida; Solanales; Solanaceae.